RNAcentral lists this ribosomal RNA (599 nucleotides) under Pseudooceanicola nanhaiensis. RNAcentral's name for it is "bacterial SSU rRNA". It matches the Rfam family "Bacterial small subunit ribosomal RNA", at positions 96 to 730 of the family's 1533-position model. The record is from RNAcentral. Lineage: Bacteria; Pseudomonadati; Pseudomonadota; Alphaproteobacteria; Rhodobacterales; Paracoccaceae.
CGGCGGACGGGUGAGUAACGCGUGGGAAUGUGCCCUUCUCUACGGAAUAGUCCCGGGAAACUGGGUUUAAUACCGUAUACGCCCUUCGGGGGAAAGAUUUAUCGGAGAAGGAUCAGCCCGCGUCUGAUUAGGUAGUUGGUGGGGUAAUGGCCUACCAAGCCUACGAUCAGUAGCUGGUUUUAGAGGAUGAUCAGCCACACUGGGACUGAGACACGGCCCAGACUCCUACGGGAGGCAGCAGUGGGGAAUCUUAGACAAUGGGCGCAAGCCUGAUCUAGCCAUGCCGCGUGAGUGAUGAAGGCCUUAGGGUCGUAAAACUCUUUCGCCAGGGAUGAUAAUGACAGUACCUGGUAAAGAAGCCCCGGCUAACUCCGUGCCAGCAGCCGCGGUAAUACGGAGGGGGCUAGCGUUGUUCGGAAUUACUGGGCGUAAAGCGCGCGUAGGCGGACUAUUAAGUCAGGGGUGAAAUCCCGGGGCUCAACCCCGGAACUGCCCUUGAUACUGGUAGUCUUGAGUUCGAGAGAGGUGAGUGGAAUUCCGAGUGUAGAGGUGAAAUUCGUAGAUAUUCGGAGGAACACCAGUGGCGAAGGCGGCUCACU